RNAcentral lists this ribosomal RNA (484 nucleotides) under Semisulcospira decipiens. RNAcentral describes it as "partial 16S ribosomal RNA". It matches the Rfam family "Bacterial large subunit ribosomal RNA", at positions 1809 to 2569 of the family's 2925-position model. The record is from RNAcentral. Lineage: Eukaryota; Metazoa; Mollusca; Gastropoda; Semisulcospiridae.
AAAAACAUGGCUCUUUGAUUAUAUAAAUAUAAAGAGUCGGGCCUGCCCAGUGAAAAUUUUUAACGGCCGCGGUACUUUGACCGUGCAAAGGUAGCAUAAUCAUUUGCCUUAUAAUUGAAGGCUAGUAUGAAUGGUUUGACGAGAGCAACACUGUCUCCUUUUUAAUUUCAAGAAUUUAACUUUUAGGUGAAGAGGCCUAAAUUUUAUUGAAGGACAAGAAGACCCUGUCGAGCUUAAAAGAUAUUGUGGGAUCUUAUAUACCUUUAAAUAAACUUUCUACCAAGCUUUUUAGUUGGGGCGACUAAGGAACAAAAAAAGCUUCUUUCUAAAAACAGACAGUCAUGUUUAGAUCCAAUAAAUUUGAUCAAAGAAAUUAGUUACCGCAGGGAUAACAGCAUAAUCUCUCUUGAGAGGCCUAAUCGAAAGAGGGGGUUGUGACCUCGAUGUUGGACUAGAAUAUCCUAAAGAUGCAGAAGUCUUUAAG